Molecule: ribosomal RNA, 556 nt
Filed under: Phaeodactylium stadleri
Lineage: Eukaryota; Fungi; Ascomycota
Description: eukaryotic LSU rRNA
Rfam family: Eukaryotic large subunit ribosomal RNA
Source: RNAcentral
GCGGAGGAAAAGAAACCAACAGGGAUUGCCUCAGUAACGGCGAGUGAAGCGGCAACAGCUCAAAUUUGAAAUCUGGCGUCUUUGGGCGUCCGAGUUGUAAUUUGCAGAGGAUACUUCGGCUUUGGGCCCGCUCCAGGUUCUUUGGAACAGGACGCCAUAGAGGGUGAGAGCCCCGUCUCUGGGUGGGACCCCAUUGCCAUGUGAAGUGCCUUCGACGAGUCGAGUUGUUUGGGAAUGCAGCUCAAAAUGGGAGGUAAAUUUCUUCCAAGGCUAAAUACCGGCUGGAGACCGAUAGCGCACAAGUAGAGUGAUCGAAAGAUGAAAAGUACUUUGGAAAGAGAGUCAAACAGCGCGUGAAAUUGUUGAAAGGGAAGCGCUUGCAGUCAGACUUGGCUGCCCGGUUCGGUAGUGUCUUGUACGCUGCCUAUGCCGCGGCGGUCAGGCCAGCAUUGGUUUGGGCGGUUGGUUAAAGGUUGCGGGAAUGUAGCUCCUCUCGGGGAGUGUUAUAGCCCGCGGCAUAAUACAGCCUGUCCGGACCAAGGAACGCGCUUCGGCU